Leptidea sinapis is the source of this 354-nucleotide long non-coding RNA. RefSeq lists it as uncharacterized. The transcript is spliced from 3 exons. The record is from RefSeq and is a predicted model, not a curated record. Lineage: Eukaryota; Metazoa; Arthropoda; Insecta; Lepidoptera; Pieridae.
AGUUUGUAGGUGUUGGAAUAAUUGUUACACACUCACACACUGCACUUUCAAAAGUUUUAAGUUGAAAAGUUUUGAAGUUAGUUAUGUUUACAUGUAAUUUGAAGCUCUAUUUACAUAUAGUUAGAACUCUAGUUUAAUUGUAUUAUCUAUGGACGGUUUGAAGUAUGAAACUUUGAAGUGAUUGACAUAAACAGUGCUGCUGAGAAAACGGUGGUGCUAAGAAAAGCAAGCGGCGUACGGAAGUUAGCUGGCGCACAAACAGUGUGGGUCAAGAUCCAUUCAAUCCAUAUCGACGCAAAACUAAACAGGGAAACCAGAAAGAAAAAUUGAAGAAAGUAGAUAAUACUGCAGAGG